CAUUCCGGAGGUCCCGCUGCAAACGCCCGUAUAAAAAUAAAAGUAAAAAGAAUUCAUUCGGGAAAAGGCUAUUUGCAUUUUGCGCGUUCAGUUUGCAUUCCCUCCAAAAUUUUCUAAAACACGUCUUCAACUCGUCAUAUGCUUCUAUGGGAAUUAGGGCAACAACAAGAUCGACCCACACGAUCGAUAGGAUUCGCUUCACUAGUGACUGAUCUUCCCGAAUUUCUACUCGGGGAAGCCUUUCGUUGAAUGCCCUUGGCUUUCAGGCUUCAUAUGAAUUGUGUAAUGUUCUAAGGAAGAGAGAUUAAAAUAACAUGCAACAUCAUGGUUGUAGUUAUGCGUGCACAAUCUUGGUCAGCUUUCCCAGUUACAUCCCUACUGCAAAAAAAUAUCAUAGCCCAUAUAUUGCUUGAGGUUACAUUGACAAGCCUGUUUUCCUGCCCUUAAGGUUAUCGAGGUACUUUUGGUAUGUAUAUACAAGUCAGAACCAUCUUCGGUUGGAACAUUCCAGACUAAGAGUGUGUGGGCUAGAAAACAAGGAAAUUUCAGCAUAAAGCUAUGGAAUAAGCAAGUUAUUCCCAGUAAGUUCGUAGGGAAGGAAUAAGAGAAGCUUUACUUACCACCAUAGCUUUGUAAUAAGCAGUUCCGGGUAUGCUCGUAGGGAAAGAAUUAUAGCCCUUUUCUACUAUGGUAUAGUGUUUGUUGAGCUCCUCUUUGUACUUAGCAUCCAGCUGACCAAAUAUAGCAAGAAUGCCAACUUCAAAGGAGAACUGUAACAUGUCCGUGAGAUUCACGUGUUAGACUGAUCUAUUGAUUAAAUCUUGAGGUGAGCCCAUUUGAAGAUAUAAUUAAGUAAUUAAAAGCUUAUGCUCUUUUAA
Long non-coding RNA from Solanum dulcamara, 878 nucleotides. RefSeq lists it as uncharacterized. Lineage: Eukaryota; Viridiplantae; Streptophyta; Magnoliopsida; Solanales; Solanaceae. The record is from RefSeq and is a predicted model, not a curated record. The transcript is spliced from 5 exons.